Molecule: long non-coding RNA, 1967 nt
Filed under: Canis lupus familiaris (dog)
Lineage: Eukaryota; Metazoa; Chordata; Mammalia; Carnivora; Canidae
Description: lncRNA (ENSCAFG00040021739.1)
Source: RNAcentral
AUGCUCCUGCCAAUUUCUCCCUCCCCCCUCUGGAAGACUUUACCAAUCAGAAGGACUGAGCCGAAAGCCUGUCUUACUCUGCUCAAAACCAUUAAUAUUUUAAGGCACUUACUUGUAUCUAAGAGCAAUGAGGUCCCUCCCAAUCUGCGAAAGAAGAAGGAAAGAAGGGAAGGGUCUGAAGUCAAGGGAGAGGGGAGUGAAAGUAGGAAAAGAGAAAUCCUGGUGAACAGAGGAGCCCCCUUGUUCUGGUUUGUAUCGAUCUUCUUUAAGCAUGGGGAGAGCUGAUGAGUCUGUGAUUAUUUUAAUGACCAUGAAACCUAUGCAUUCAAAGAAAUAAAUGAAGCUAUGUAAUCACCUUUUAAGUAAUAUCAAAGAACCAGAAAAGGGUUAGGGGGAGGGGCGUCAUUGUAGAACAGUAUUUACAUCAUACAAGGCACCACAGGGGAAGGUAAACACGGGUGAAGUUUCUGUAGAGGGAGAGGAGCCUAAAAUUCAAUACUUUAUGGCCCUGGCCCAUCCAAGGCAAGGAAAGAUAAGGCGUGGAAGCAAUAAUUGUGUCUAUUUUGGUAUUUUUUUGGCAAGGGAAAUGCUGAUGUUCGAGCUUUGUGAGUAGUUUAUAAAGCAAGAAAAACUUUGGAAGUGCAACAAUACGGAAGAUACAGACGAUGGACAAAUAGAAUCAGAGGUUGUUGACCAAGUGAGGGUUAUUGCGACAAUAUGCUUUAAAUUGAGAAUAACAAUGAAGACACACUAGGUUCAGUCCAAAGACAAACAACUGGAAAUAAAAUGACAUUGGAACAUAACAUUACAGAAUUAGGUGGCUGCCUAUGUCUAAGGGCAGGUACUGAGAAAAGCAGGAGACACGGACGCUGUCUUGGAAACCAGCAAGAGAGAGGACACAUACUGACAACGAUGCCCAGCAACCUGAUGUUGUCGAAUAGGAGUAGGAGUCGUAGGUAUCUGAUUCCACCGUUAUUUGUGAUUUUAACGAAGUUCUACAUUUAACAAGUCAGUGCAGACAAAAGGAAGAGUCCCAGCUCUGGUAGCUGACAGACCUGGUUUCCAAUCCUACUUCUUCCACUUGUUAGUUCUCUAACUCUGGAAAGAUUAUGUCAUGGCUGUAGGCCUCAGUCUUGUUAUCCGCAAAAUGGGGUUAUCAUCACCUGCCUCCCCUGGCCGCUGUGAGGAUUAAUUAAGAUAAUAAAUGGAAAGCACCUGGUUGUACUUGAGCAGGUGCCCAGUCAUUACAGCUGUUAUAAUUCAUCCCAUUACUCUAAAUAGGUAACAGAAAUUCUCAAGAAAAUUAUAAACCCCAGGAAAAGAUAACUUAAUUAAGAAAAAAUACCCUAUGCCCUUCAACCCGGGAGUUUUCUGGUCAUGAAUUCAUCAUUAAUCAAAUGCCUACAAACGGGGUUGCCGGAUAAAACAGGACUCACAGUUAAAUCUGAUUAUCAGAAGAACAACAAGUAUUUUUUAGUAUAAGUAUGUCCCAUGCAAUAUCAUACUGAAAAAUUGGGUGUCGUUUCUCUAAAAUUUAAACAGAAAUUUUAAAAAUGAAAUAACUGAUGGGUCCUCAGUUUGGUUUGGCUUUUUUGUUGUUGUUGUUGUUGUUGUUGUUGCCAAAUUUGGCAACCUAUCUGCAAACAGCAAAAAACCCUGAGUAUGUUUAAUUCCUGCUUCCUUCAGCCCCGGUUCCUCCGGAGGUAAGAGGAAAGGAAUCCUGAUUUCAGCGAGUGUUGUAAAAAACUUAAUAAAUGAAAUGAAUGUUAGUAAAAGGUUUCAAAUACCCAGAACAUCACUUGGCACUCGCUGAGGGAAAGCAACCGCCAGUCUGGCAUCUCCGGGUUAGGCCUCUGACUUGGGUUUCCCAUCAUCUGGCACCCAGGCCACCCCCCUGUUACCAGGCCCCCCCCCCCCCAGUUCUGACCCAGCCCUUUGCAGGCCUGGAACAGUUUUGUUUUGUUUUG